This 305-nucleotide ribosomal RNA is filed under the name uncultured bacterium. RNAcentral's name for it is "bacterial SSU rRNA". It matches the Rfam family "Bacterial small subunit ribosomal RNA", at positions 335 to 656 of the family's 1533-position model. The record is from RNAcentral.
UUUCCUACGGGGCGCAGCAGUGGGGAAUAUUGCACAAUGGGGGAAACCCUGAUGCGGCAACGCCGCGUGAGUGAAGAAGGUUUUCGGAUUGUAAAGCUCUGUUAGCAGGGAAGAGGAAGGACGGUACCUGCAGAGGAAGCCACGGCUAACUACGUGCCAGCAGCCGCGGUAAUACGUAGGUGGCAAGCGUUGUUCGGAAUAACUGGGCGUAAAGGGAGCGUAGACGGUUAUGUAAGUCUGGAGUGAAAGCCCGGGGCCCAACCCCGGGACUGCUUUGGAAACUGUGUAACUGGAGUACAGGAGGG